Molecule: ribosomal RNA, 465 nt
Filed under: Vreelandella stevensii
Lineage: Bacteria; Pseudomonadati; Pseudomonadota; Gammaproteobacteria; Oceanospirillales; Halomonadaceae
Description: partial 16S ribosomal RNA
Rfam family: Bacterial small subunit ribosomal RNA
Source: RNAcentral
CCUACGGGCGGCAGCAGUGGGGAAUAUUGGACAAUGGGGGGAACCCUGAUCCAGCCAUGCCGCGUGUGUGAAGAAGGCCCUCGGGUUGUAAAGCACUUUCAGUGAGGAAGAACGCCUGGUGGUUAAUACCCAUCAGGAAAGACAUCACUCACAGAAGAAGCACCGGCUAACUCCGUGCCAGCAGCCGCGGUAAUACGGAGGGUGCGAGCGUUAAUCGGAAUUACUGGGCGUAAAGCGCGCGUAGGUGGCUUGAUAAGCCGGUUGUGAAAGCCCCGGGCUCAACCUGGGAACGGCAUCCGGAACUGUCCAGCUAGAGUGCAGGAGAGGAAGGUAGAAUUCCCGGUGUAGCGGUGAAAUGCGUAGAGAUCGGGAGGAAUACCAGUGGCGAAGGCGGCCUUCUGGACUGACACUGCCACUGAGGUGCGAAAGCGUGGGUAGCAAACAGGAUUAGAUACCCGUGUAGUC